CGUGACGUCAUGACGUAACAGGAAUCUGCCGCUCCGCCCGUGCACUGAAAUCCGAGAGCCGAAUGGCUCACAGGGCGACACCUAAUAAAUGAACUUCAACUUGAAAUGAACCUGAGCGCGAUGACGUCACCACGCAGCGGCGCUCCAACCAAACUGAGCGCGAUGACGUCACCACGCAAGGGGCCUCCAAUCAACCCGAGCACGACGUCACCACGCAGCGGCGCUCCAACCAACCUGAGCGCGAUGACGUCACCACGCAGGGGCCUCUCAUCCACCCGAGCGCGUUGACGUCACCACGCAGCAUCGUUCCAACCAACCUGAGCGCGAUGACGUCACCACGCAGCAUCGCUCCAACCAACCUGAGCGCGAUGACGUCACCUCGCAGCAUCGCUCCAACCAACCUGAGCGCGAUGACGUCACCACGCAGCAUCGCUCCAACCAACCUGAGCGUGAUGACGUCACCACGCAGCAUCGCUCCAACCAACCUGAGCGUGAUGACGUCACCACGCAGCAUCGCUCCAACCAACCUGAGUGUGAUGACGUCACCACGCAGCGGCGCUCCAAUCAACCUGAGCGUGAUGACGUCACCACGCAGCGGCGCUCAUCAACCUGAGCGCGAUGACGUCACCAUUCAACGGAGCUCCAACCAACUUAUUUGAAAAUCCGUGAAGAAAUAAAGAAUUGCAGUGCAAA
This is a long non-coding RNA of Lethenteron reissneri (Far Eastern brook lamprey), 693 nucleotides long. RefSeq lists it as uncharacterized. The record is from RefSeq and is a predicted model, not a curated record. NCBI's taxonomy places the organism in Eukaryota, Metazoa, Chordata, Hyperoartia, Petromyzontiformes, Petromyzontidae.